AUUGAACGCUGGCGGCAUGCUUUACACAUGCAAGUCGAACGGCAGCGCGGGCUUCGGCCUGGCGGCGAGUGGCGAACGGGUGAGUAAUGCAUCGGAACGUGCCCAGUAGUGGGGGAUAGCCCGGCGAAAGCCGGAUUAAUACCGCAUACGACCUGAGGGUGAAAGCGGGGGACCGAAAGGCCUCGCGCUAUUGGAGCGGCCGAUGUCGGAUUAGCUAGUUGGUGGGGUAAAGGCUUACCAAGGCGACGAUUCGUAGCUGGUCUGAGAGGACGACCAGCCACACUGGGACUGAGACACGGCCCAGACUCCUACGGGAGGCAGCAGUGGGGAAUUUUGGACAAUGGGGGCAACCCUGAUCCAGCCAUGCCGCGUGCGGGAAGAAGGCCUUCGGGUUGUAAACCGCUUUUGUUCGGGAAGAAAUCCUCUGGGCUAAUACCCCGGGGGGAUGACGGUACCGGAAGAAUAAGCACCGGCUAACUACGUG
Molecule: ribosomal RNA, 484 nt
Filed under: uncultured bacterium
Lineage: Bacteria
Description: partial 16S ribosomal RNA
Rfam family: Bacterial small subunit ribosomal RNA
Source: RNAcentral